RNAcentral lists this long non-coding RNA (1070 nucleotides) under Vulpes vulpes (red fox). RNAcentral describes it as "lncRNA (ENSVVUG00000019089.1)". Lineage: Eukaryota; Metazoa; Chordata; Mammalia; Carnivora; Canidae. The record is from RNAcentral.
GUGGGGAGAGGGAGGGCCGGGGGUCCGCGGCUCGAGGUCCCUUCCGGCCUCGCACUGAGCCGCACCCCGCCCGCAGGGCAGGGCCGCAGGCGGCGAGGGCCGCCCGGGCCUUUCCAAGAGCGAAGGGCCCGGCCCCGGAAACAGGGAGGGGCCGCGGCCAGGCCGGGCCCGCGCCGCAGGCGNNNNNNNNNNNNNNNNNNNNNNNNNNNNNNNNNNNNNNNNNNNNNNNNNNCCGCCCCGGGGGGAGCUUCGGCUUGGGCCCCCAGGGGCCCCGGGCGGACCCCGCGCCGCACUCACCGCGGGAGGGCGGCAGGAGGCAAAGACGCUUGCGAGCGAAGCUCCGAGCGCGGGGACGGCUUCCUUCCCAAGCCCACUCCUCAGGCAGCGGCGGCGGCGGCGGCUGCACAGGCGGCGGCGGCGGCAGCAGCUACCCCGGCUCCGGAAUCGGCGGCGGCGGUGGCGGCAGCGGCGGCAGCUCCACUUCCGCUCCGGUCACCACUUCCGCUCCGACCCGCGCUCCGACCCGCCCCUGCGCCGGCUCCCCAUUGGACGAGCCGGGCACGGGGUUGCCCCGGCCGCCCGAGAGGGGCGCUGACGGAGGGAGGAGGAAGGAGCGCGGAGACCCGGACGCGGCGGACUGGAGCGAGGAGGGAGCGGGCGGACGGGGGCGGAAAUGGAGGCGGCGGGCGGAAAGAGGCAGUGGGAGACGAGAGGGCGGAGCUGGGGGGGUGCGGGGGUGCUGGGAACCCGGCGGGGGAACCCGAGCCGACGCCGGGGUCAUCGCCUCCCUCCCUCCUCCAAAAGGAAUCGCCACCGGGUCGCAGGCGGAGAUCCUGGUGUUUGAGGACAUCUCUGUUGAAACACAGUGGAGCGGGAGCUAAAGGCCCAGAGACUUCAGUGACUACGUGGGGGUUUGUUUUCAUUUGUGACAGCAGCGAUAGAAAGCUAACACAGUGUACUGGUCAUUGCUAGCUCUGGCUGUUGGGGGAUGGACGUCAGCCUUAUGUCACACGUGGUUAGUGUGCUCAAUGAACACUCAUCACAAUAAAAAUAAUGAAGACCAUAAUUCA